AAACGAAUAAGUCGUGUAAAGUUCUAGAUAAAAAAUUGAUAAUGACUAAGUUUUAUCUAUAAGUCUUGACCAAAUUAUGUGCCAGCAGUCGCGGUAAUACAUAGAAGACAAGUGUUAUUCAUCUUUAACAGGUUUAAAGGGUACCUAGACGGGAAAUCAAGCCAUAGUAGGGACUAAUUUCCUAGAGUUUCAUAAGUUAAGAUCGAACUUACCGAGGAGCGAUAAAAUGCGUAGGAUAUGGUAAUGACGGGUAGCAGCGAAGGCAUUCUUAUAUGUAGAAACUGACGUUGAGGAACGAAGCCCUGGGUAGCAAUAAGGAUUAGAUACCCUAGUAGUCCAGGGAGAAAAUUAUGAGUGCCAUAGACUAGAAACUAGUUUAUAAAUGAAAGUGUAAGCAUUCCACCUCAUGAGUAAAGCGGCAACGCCGAAAUUGAAAUCAUUAGACCGUUUCUGAAACCAGUAGUGAAGUAUGUUAUUUAAUUCGAUGGUCCGCGAAUAACCUUACCACCUCUUGAAUAUUUUUACAAGCGCUGCACGGCUGUCUUCAGUUAAUGUCGUGAGAUCUGGUUUGUUCCUUUAAUUAACGAAAACCCUGGUUUUAUUUUUAUAUAAAGCAUUUUUAUAUAUACAUUAGUAUAGAAUAAAGGGGAUCAAGACAAGU
This 661-nucleotide ribosomal RNA is filed under the name Lithohypha catenulata. Its description in RNAcentral is "SSU rRNA". It matches the Rfam family "Bacterial small subunit ribosomal RNA", at positions 411 to 1190 of the family's 1533-position model. Lineage: Eukaryota; Fungi; Ascomycota; Eurotiomycetes; Chaetothyriales; Trichomeriaceae. The record is from RNAcentral.